This 846-nucleotide ribosomal RNA is filed under the name uncultured bacterium. Its description in RNAcentral is "bacterial SSU rRNA". It matches the Rfam family "Bacterial small subunit ribosomal RNA", at positions 28 to 914 of the family's 1533-position model. The record is from RNAcentral.
GAUGAACGCUGGCGGUAUGCUUUACACAUGCAAGUCGUACGAGAGUUUUUAACUCAAGUGGCGGACGGGUGAGUAACACGUAAGAAUUUGCCUUUAGGAGGGGGAUAACAACUGGAAACGGUUGCUAAUACCCCAUAUGCUUUCGAGUGAAACGGUUUUUCCGCCUAAAGAGAAGCUUGCGGCUGAUUAGCUUGUUGGUGAGGUAAUGGCUCACCAAGGCGACGAUCAGUAUCUGGUUUGAGAGGACGAUCAGACACACUGGAACUGUGACACGGUCCAGACUCCUACGGGAGGCAGCAGUGGGGAAUUUUCCGCAAUGGGCGAAAGCCUGACGGAGCAAUACCGCGUGAGGGAUGACGGCCUAUGGGUUGUAAACCUCUUUUUUCAGGGAGGAAUAAAUGACGUGUACCUGAGGAAUAAGCAUCGGCUAACUCCGUGCCAGCAGCCGCGGUAAGACGGAGGAUGCAAGUGUUAUCCGGAAUCACUGGGCGUAAAGCGUCUGUAGGUGGUCAAAUAAGUCAACUGUUAAAUCUUGAGGCUCAACCUCAAAAUCGCAGUCGAAACUAUUAGACUAGAGUAUAGUAGGGGUAAAGGGAAUUUCCAGUGGAGCGGUGAAAUGCGUAGAGAUUGGAAAGAACACCGAUGGCGAAGGCACUUUACUGGGCUAUUACUAACACUGAGAGACGAAAGCUAGGGUAGCAAAUGGGAUUAGAUACCCCAGUAGUCCUAGCCGUAAACAAUGGAUACUAGAUGUUGAACAGAUCGACCUGUGCAGUAUCAAAGCUAACGCGUUAAGUAUCCCGCCUGGGAAGUAUGCUCGCAAGAGUGAAACUUAAAGGAAUUGAC